CCAGACUCCUACGGGAGGCAGCAGUGGGGAAUAUUGCACAAUGGGGGAAACCCUGAUGCAGCGACGCCGCGUGAGCGAAGAAGUAUUUCGGUAUGUAAAGCUCUAUCAGCAGGGAAGAAAAUGACGGUACCUGAGUAAGAAGCUCCGGCUAAAUACGUGCCAGCAGCCGCGGUAAUACGUAUGGAGCAAGCGUUAUCCGGAUUUACUGGGCGUAAAGGGAGCGUAGGCGGCCUGCCAAGUCCGGAGUGAAAGUCCAUGGCUUAACCAUGGUACUGCUCUGGAAACUGUGGAGCUUGAGUGCGGGAGGGGCAGGCGGAAUUCCUAGUGUAGCGGUGAAAUGCGUAGAUAUUAGGAGGAACACCAGUGGCGAAGGCGGCUUACUGGACUGUAACUGACGUUGAGGCUCGAAAGCGUGGGGAGCAAACAGGAUUAGAUACCCCCGUAU
Molecule: ribosomal RNA, 445 nt
Filed under: uncultured bacterium
Lineage: Bacteria
Description: bacterial SSU rRNA
Rfam family: Bacterial small subunit ribosomal RNA
Source: RNAcentral